This 413-nucleotide ribosomal RNA is filed under the name uncultured Glomeraceae. Its description in RNAcentral is "partial 28S ribosomal RNA". The record is from RNAcentral. Lineage: Eukaryota; Fungi; Glomeromycota; Glomeromycetes; Glomerales; Glomeraceae.
GAGAGUUAAACAGUACGUGAAAUUGUUGAAAGGGAAACGAUUGAAGCCAGUCGUACCUAUGGGUAAUCAGCCUUUUGGGUGUGAUUUUGUGGAGCGUGAGGAGUUAAACGCCUUCAUGCCUGCAUAUUCGUGCACUUUGGGUGUACUUGCCCGUGUGUAAGUUAACAUCAAUUUUGGUGGUCAUAAAAUGGCUGGAGGAAUGUAGCUUCGAUCUUGUAUUGAAGUGUUAUAGCCUUCGGUAGAUGUGACGAUCGGGAUUGAGGAUUGCAACGGAUACCCUUCUGGGCUAUUCGUCUGAUCUCUGAAACGUUGCCUUGAUGUCGAAAGCUUGCUUAUGAUGUUAAGGGUAUUACGGUCAAAAGGUUAGAACGGAUUAAAUUCGUUAAGGAUGUUGACGUAAUGACUUUAAACGA